GGAGUUCCCAAUCCCGCCGCGGGAGAACACCUGAGACCACGCUAGUCUUCGCCCCCGUGCCGCUCCUCGUCGCUGGUCAGGACCCCGGCGGCCUGGCCCUCCCGAGCUCCGCCCCCUAGCCUCCCUGCUACAUCGCGAGUCGCCGGUCCAUUUUCCUUUGGUUAUAGGAGCAACCCUACGCAGGUUCUACAGGGAAGCACGGGGGAAGCUCACUUCCGUUUUGCUCUGUUUCUCUUUUAUUUCUUCAGGAUCUUGGACAGUUCUUUCUUUUAGAAAAUCUGCUCUCUAUUUUGUUACAGGGAAGCACGGGGGAAGCUCACUUCCGUUUUGCUGCCACGCCAUCACCCGGCGACCUCCUUCCAUGGUUGCCACGCCCACCCGCUACAAGCCCCCUCACUCUCUCCCAUGGUCUACCUCGCGCCAUCCAUGGGAGUUCAUAGAUCGUGGCUGUGGGAGUCCAUCGGCGCCGCCCCGUGCUUCCCCCUGAGUGUAGCAGCGGCCUCCCCAAAAUUCGUCGAGCGUGGGAGUGCUCUGACCAGAAACCCUGGAUUCCCCUCCUCGGUGGCCACAUGGUCGGUCCCUGAUUAAGCAUUCUCGCCGGCAUCACUGGGUUCUGCGGUUGCAUCGUUGAGCUCAACUUACCAUCGUCCCUGAUUUCGGGGGAGCACCAGGCCAUUCUCCUGGCUGUUGGAGUACAUAAAAGUUCAGAUGUGAGAACCCCCAACAUCCAAGUGAUGCCCGUUUUCCUCUACAUCUCAAUCAGAGAAGUUCUAUUUGUACACAUGUGAAGUCCAUCUUUCCCUGAAGCUGCUAAAUCCAAUCCCCGGUGUAAGGGAAGUGCAUCUCUGUGUUUGUUGCCUACUCUAUUACAGUUUAGCAAAUUUAAUUGGCUACUAAAAGAGAGUAAAAUCAGUGAAGAUCUACUGCUAUGUAUUUUUUUGCUUUGAUUGAUUUGCUGGUUGGUUGGUAGUUGGUAAAAAAUUGUAGUAAGCAUCAAGAUAAUUCAGAAGUUCCGAACUUUUAAAAAAGUGAAGUCCAGUCCGUCGCAUGCUAGAAGUUCAUCUUGUGUUUGUCAUCUAGUAGUGUGCAUGGCUGAACUAUCUUUAUUCUACUAGCUGUCCUGAUAUUCUGUAUUCACAAGCUAUAGGAUGUCAUGUUGGUGUGCCAAUUUAUCUAUUAUUACAUUAUUCCUCGGGGAUGUAUGAUUCUUGUAUAUGCAAUAGUUUUAUCUUAUGAUGAUGCAAUAGUUUUUAUAAUGCAGGAACAGAUGUUGUCUUCAGCGGGAACAGUUCGCCUGCAUAUAAGUUCACUUCUUAUCUUGAUACAUUGACAUUGGUGCAGUUCACUGUAAGCCAUUGUGCGGUUCAGUUGGUUGCUGUUUGUCAAAGGGGACUUUGCUUUGUCUGAAGGCGAAGUUCAGUUUUCUUUGCGGAACAGUUCGUUUCAUAAUCAACAAGCUAUAUAUUGAUCAGAUAUUUAUUUAUUUAUCAGAACAGAAGAUGCACGGAGCCAAGUUGCUGCUCUGAAGAUUGGCGAGAAUUACCCAUAUGCUUGACAAUGUGCAAAACCUAGCACACCCCAAAAAAGAUGAGAUUGAUAGGUUUAUCCAUGAAAAUCCGUUCAGGAGUUCACAUUAAACGUCAUACAAGUUCGCCUUGAACAUGUCGCAAUUCUUUUUGUCAGGGAGUUCACUACAAACAUGCCUGAAGUUCCUGUUGUACGGCUCCGAAAUUCAUUUUAUUUUAUUUUGAAAAGGUGGCUGAUCAAAAAUUCCCUUAGCGUGACAUGAAGUAUAACUUAUGAAUGCCUCUAGAGAUUCAUUUUUCUCUAUCUGAGAGUUUACUCUAUUUUGUAACGAAUUCACUCUAAUAUGAGGAGUUGACAUGUAUUAUGGUAGGAGUUCACUUUGUGAUU
Lolium rigidum is the source of this 1914-nucleotide long non-coding RNA. RefSeq lists it as uncharacterized. The transcript has 6 exons. The record is from RefSeq and is a predicted model, not a curated record. NCBI's taxonomy places the organism in Eukaryota, Viridiplantae, Streptophyta, Magnoliopsida, Poales, Poaceae.